Molecule: ribosomal RNA, 490 nt
Filed under: uncultured bacterium
Lineage: Bacteria
Description: partial 16S ribosomal RNA
Rfam family: Bacterial small subunit ribosomal RNA
Source: RNAcentral
GAUGAACGCUAGCUACAGGCUUAACACAUGCAAGUCGAGGGGCAGCAUGGUCUUAGCUUGCUAAGGCCGAUGGCGACCGGCGCACGGGUGAGUAACACGUAUCCAACCUGCCGUCUACUCUUGGACAGCCUUCUGAAAGGAAGAUUAAUACAAGAUGGCAUCAUGAGUUCACAUGUUCACAUGAUUAAAGGUAUUCCGGUAGACGAUGGGGAUGCGUUCCAUUAGAUAGUAGGCGGGGUAACGGCCCACCUAGUCUUCGAUGGAUAGGGGUUCUGAGAGGAAGGUCCCCCACAUUGGAACUGAGACACGGUCCAAACUCCUACGGGAGGCAGCAGUGAGGAAUAUUGGUCAAUGGGCGAGAGCCUGAGCCAGCCAAGUAGCGUGAAGGAUGACUGCCCUAUGGGUUGUAAACUUCUUUUAUAAAGGAAUAAAGUCGGGUAUGUAUACCCGUUUGCAUGUACUUUAUGAAUAAGGAUCGGCUAACUCCGUG